CAAAGGAAGUUGACGGGGCCCGCACAAGCGUGGAGCAUGUGGUUUAAUUCGAAGCAACGCGAAGAACCUUACCAGGCCUUGACAUGCAGAGAACUUUCCAGAGAUGGAUUGGUGCCUUCGGGAACUCUGACACAGGUGCUGCAUGGCUGUCGCCAGCUCGUGUCGUGAGAUGUUGGGUUAAGUCCGUAACGAGCGCAACCCUUGUCCUUAGUUACCAGCACGUUAUGGUGGGCACUCUAAGGAGACUGCCGGUGACAAACCGGAGGAAGGUGGGGAUGACGUCAAGUCAUCAUGGCCCUUACGGCCUGGGCUACACACGUGCUACAAUGGUCGGUACAAAGGGUUGCCAAGCCGCGAGGUGGAGCUAAUCCCAUAAAACCGAUCGUAGUCCGGAUCGCAGUCUGCAACUCGACUGCGUGAAGUCGGAAUCGCUAGUAAUCGUGAAUCAGAAUGUCACGGUGAAUACGUUCCCGGGCCUU
Molecule: ribosomal RNA, 479 nt
Filed under: uncultured Pseudomonas sp.
Lineage: Bacteria; Pseudomonadati; Pseudomonadota; Gammaproteobacteria; Pseudomonadales; Pseudomonadaceae
Description: bacterial SSU rRNA
Rfam family: Bacterial small subunit ribosomal RNA
Source: RNAcentral